This 247-nucleotide ribosomal RNA is filed under the name Pantoea sp. PNT03. Its description in RNAcentral is "partial 23S ribosomal RNA". It matches the Rfam family "Bacterial large subunit ribosomal RNA", at positions 2701 to 2925 of the family's 2925-position model. The record is from RNAcentral. Lineage: Bacteria; Pseudomonadati; Pseudomonadota; Gammaproteobacteria; Enterobacterales; Erwiniaceae.
ACGCACCACUGGUGUUCGGGUUGUCAUGCCAAUGGCACUGCCCGGUAGCUAAGUGCGGAAAAGAUAAGUGCUGAAAGCAUCUAAGCACGAAACUUGCCCCGAGAUGAGUUCUCCCUGACUCCUUGAGGGUCCUGAAGGGACGUUGAAGACUACGACGUUGAUAGGCCGGGUGUGUAAGCGCAGCGAUGCGUUGAGCUAACCGGUACUAAUGACCCGUGAGGCUUAACCUUACAACGCCAGAGGCGUU